CGAACGGGUGAGUAACGCGUGAGUAACCUGCCCUGGAGUGGGGGACAACAGUUGGAAACGACUGCUAAUACCGCAUAAGCCCACGGAUCCGCAUGGAUCUGCGGGAAAAGGAUUUAUUCGCUUCAGGAUGGACUCGCGUCCAAUUAGCUAGUUGGUGAGGUAACGGCCCACCAAGGCGACGCUUGGUAGCCGGACUGAGAGGUUGAACGGCCACAUUGGGACUGAGACACGGCCCAGACUCCUACGGGAGGCAGCAUG
This 258-nucleotide ribosomal RNA is filed under the name uncultured bacterium. Its description in RNAcentral is "partial 16S ribosomal RNA". It matches the Rfam family "Bacterial small subunit ribosomal RNA", at positions 99 to 353 of the family's 1533-position model. The record is from RNAcentral.